GCCGCAUGCAGGUAAACGGGUGGCGUCAAGCUGCGAGCCCGGAGGAUUCAGCUGACUGGGGUGUAGUGUACGCGCGCCUGGUGCGUCGAGAGGCCGGAGUAAGAUGUUUGUGUGGCGGUUCACUCCUCUGAUGGGAGUGAGGUGCGAUCGGUGUGCGCUUGCGUGUGCCGGUUGUCGCCAUGCUUGCCGGGUGGGUGCCGGAGCAUGCCGUUCGUCUGUUGGGCCGCCUAGUCAGUGCAUUUUCUCCGUGGUGAACACCACGACCGGUGGAACUGCCAGUCUGCUGUAAUCAAGUCGUGCUGCCCUAAUGCUUCACUGUGUUGGGGUUGGUACGAUCGCAGGCGGAGUCGGUGGACGGCGCAGUGGUGCUUCGGUACUGCCGCGUGUUAUCGUGCACUCUCUGUCGUAAGCGACUAGUGGGGUUGACUGAGUGCUGUGACUACUUCCUCGCUGGUCGGUGGAUUGCAGUGGUGAAAGGGACUGUGCAGGGCACCGGAGUUGUCCACCUCAUUCAAUAUGGUACCCGGCACGCACGUUACAGGUGCUAUGCAAAUUGGGAUGUGCCGCUGUCCGCCUGGUGUUGGGCCUGACUGUCGUGUUGCCCGCGCAAAGUGGGUCCGGCAGUGGUCUCGGCGCCUGGCGGUCGCAGUGUGUGCGCGCGUCUCAGGUGUCUGUGGUAUCGGGGGUGAAAUAGUCAGUGGUGCUGUGGUAGACGAGCUACCCGACCCGUCUUGAAACACGGACCAAGGAGUUUAACAUGUGUGCGAGUCAAAGGGUCCUACGAAACCCCGAGGCGCAGUGAAAGUGAAGUUCAUGCUGUACUUCUGCACAUACGCAGUACAGUGUGGCGAGGUGAGAUCUCGUUGUACUCAUGACACACGCCGCAGACCUUACUGGGCAUUAAACUGGGGCAACGAGCGCAUCACCGGCCCGUCCCAUGAUGUGGUCAUAGGCGUUCACUUGGUGCUGUGUGCUGGCGUUCGUCGUCCGUAUGCAGCGUCAGAGCCUGUGCGUCAUCGGGGCGGAGCAUGAGCACACACGUUGAGACCCGAAAGAUGGUGAAUUAUGCUUGCGUAGGUUGAAGCCAGAGGAAACUCUGGUGGAGGACCGUAGCGAUUCUGACGUGCAAAUCGAUCGUCAAACGU
This 1145-nucleotide ribosomal RNA is filed under the name Spasskylepis ovaluteri. RNAcentral describes it as "LSU rRNA". The stretch from base 571 to 1145 matches the Rfam family "Eukaryotic large subunit ribosomal RNA", at positions 1 to 912 of the family's 3401-position model. The record is from RNAcentral. Lineage: Eukaryota; Metazoa; Platyhelminthes; Cestoda; Cyclophyllidea; Hymenolepididae.